RNAcentral lists this ribosomal RNA (253 nucleotides) under uncultured bacterium. RNAcentral's name for it is "partial 16S ribosomal RNA". It matches the Rfam family "Bacterial small subunit ribosomal RNA", at positions 524 to 776 of the family's 1533-position model. The record is from RNAcentral.
UACGUAGGGGGCAAGCGUUGUCCGGAAUCAUUGGGCGUAAAGCGCGCGUAGGCGGCCCGGUAAGUCCGCUGUAAAAGUCCAGGGCUCAACCCUGGAAAGCCGGUGGAUACUGUCGGGCUAGAGUCCGGAAGAGGCGAGUGGAAUUCCUGGUGUAGCGGUGGAAUGCGCAGAUAUCAGGAGGAACACCAGCGGCGAAGGCGGCGCUCUGGGCUGGAACUGACGCUGAGGAGCGAAAGCGUGGGGAGCGAACAGG